CUGCGAGUGAAGAGGGAAGAGCUCAUCAUUGGAAUCUGGCAGUGUUGCACUGUCCGAGUUGUAGAUGAGGAGUAGUCCGUCUGGACUGCAUGGCGUCCAAGUACAAUAGGCCGUCAGUGGGACAUCAUAGAGGGUGACAAUCCCGUCCUUGACGCCAAUGUGCAAGUCUAUUACGAUGGCUAUCUCAGAGAGUCGAGCAGUUUGGGAUUUGCUGCUUAAACAUGGGAGGUAGAUUCCUUCUAAAGCUAAAUACAGGCGAGAGACCGAUAGAGAACAAGUACCGCAAGGGAAAGAUGAAAUAGCACUCUGUGAAGGGAGUCAAAAGGCGUGAAAUUGUUGCGAGAGAAGCGAUUCAAGUCAGCGUAGCUAGGCCCAUCAAGCGUCUUCGCUUUGGACUAGCUUUGCCAGCGGUCUUGUCCCUUGAAGAGACUUGACUUGUAAUAUGUCCAGCCUGGCGUGCACAGGCAGCCCCUUCUGGGGGCCAGUGGCAUGGCUGGUGGAAUGGCUUGCAAUCGACCCGUCUUGAAACACGGACCAAGGAGUCUAACAUGUAUGCGAGUAUAAGGGUGGCAAACCCGUAUGCGCAAUGAAAGUGAUUUUCGGUGAUUGAGAAUGGCCUGAUGACCAGACAAGCAAUAUAUGUCCCUCGUACGGCCAUUGCCCAAGUUCCGUGGUAGAUCCCACGAACAUGGAGUUGGAGCAUACAUGCUAGGACCCGAAAGAUGGUGAACUAUGCCUGGACAAAGCGAAGCCAAAGGAAACUCUGGUGGAGGCUUGUAGCGAUUCUGACGUGCAAAUCGAUCGUCUGAUCUGGGUAUAGGGGCGAAAGACUAAUCGAGGGUAUAGGGGCGAAAGACUAAUCGAACCAUCUCAUAGCU
This 878-nucleotide ribosomal RNA is filed under the name Craterellus yunnanensis. Its description in RNAcentral is "LSU rRNA". It matches the Rfam family "Eukaryotic large subunit ribosomal RNA", at positions 87 to 952 of the family's 3401-position model. The record is from RNAcentral. Lineage: Eukaryota; Fungi; Basidiomycota; Agaricomycetes; Cantharellales; Hydnaceae.